GAGGAUGUAGCUCAAGUGGUAGAGCACAUGCUUAGCAUACACGUCCUGGGUUCAAUUCCCAGUACCUCCU
This 70-nucleotide transfer RNA is filed under the name Camelus bactrianus (Bactrian camel). It matches the Rfam family "tRNA". Rfam says of the family: Transfer RNA (tRNA) molecules are approximately 80 nucleotides in length. Their secondary structure includes four short double-helical elements and three loops (D, anti-codon, and T loops). Further hydrogen bonds mediate the characteristic L-shaped molecular structure. tRNAs have two regions of fundamental functional importance: the anti-codon, which is responsible for specific mRNA codon recognition, and the 3' end, to which the tRNAs corresponding amino acid is attached (by aminoacyl-tRNA synthetases). tRNAs cope with the degeneracy of the genetic code in two manners: having more than one tRNA (with a specific anti-codon) for a particular amino acid; and 'wobble' base-pairing, i.e. permitting non-standard base-pairing at the 3rd anti-codon position. Lineage: Eukaryota; Metazoa; Chordata; Mammalia; Artiodactyla; Camelidae. RNAcentral also lists the same sequence under 3 other names. The record is from Rfam by way of RNAcentral.